Molecule: long non-coding RNA, 253 nt
Organism: Uloborus diversus
Lineage: Eukaryota; Metazoa; Arthropoda; Arachnida; Araneae; Uloboridae
Exons: 3
Source: RefSeq, a predicted model, not a curated record
UUGGAUGUCUCAACACUGAAACCUCAGGUUGCAUUUAAGUAUCUGUCAAAAGUUGAAAAGAUUGAAAAUUACUAUCAAAGGCAUUUGAAAACAUGUAAUGAAAAUUUUAUGUCUGAUUUCCAAAAGUUGGGUCUUCAAGGUUCAUUUCUACCCAUGCAGCAAUUAGCAUAUAUUUGCCGAGAAAACAAAUGGGGAGAACCAGACUAUCAAAUUCAGCAGCAUGCAUUUGGUGCCAAUGCUUCUAUAUUUUCUU